UGGGGCAACGAUGUGGCUUCAACAAC
This 26-nucleotide non-coding RNA is filed under the name Homo sapiens (human). Lineage: Eukaryota; Metazoa; Chordata; Mammalia; Primates; Hominidae. The record is from RNAcentral.